UCGGGAAUUUUGGGCAAUGGGCGAAAGCCUGACCCAGCAACGCCGCGUGAAGGAUGAAGUAUUUCGGUAUGUAAACUUCGAAAGAAUAGGAAGAAUAAAUGACGGUACUAUUUAUAAGGUCCGGCUAACUACGUGCCAGCAGCCGCGGUAAUACGUAGGGACCAAGCGUUGUUCGGAUUUACUGGGCGUAAAGGGCGCGUAGGCGGCAAUUCAAGUCAUCUGUGAAAUCUCCGGGCUUAACUCGGAACGGUCAGAUGAUACUGCUUUGCUAGAGUGCAGAAGGGGCAAUCGGAAUUCUUGGUGUAGCGGUGAAAUGCGUAGAUAUCAAGAGGAACACCUGUGGCGAAGGCGGCUAACUGGUCCGGUACUGACGCUGAGGUGCGAAAGCGUGGGGAGCAAACAGGAUUAGAUACCCUCGUAGUCCCUGAGCGGGCUGGCAAGGCGCAU
Molecule: ribosomal RNA, 447 nt
Filed under: uncultured bacterium
Lineage: Bacteria
Description: bacterial SSU rRNA
Rfam family: Bacterial small subunit ribosomal RNA
Source: RNAcentral